UAAACAAGAUGAGCCCCACCUGAGGGGAAUCAGAUAAUUUCAAAUGUAGAAGGCAGUAGGAAGGUGGUGGGGUAGUUGAGAGAAGCUCAGGAAUUAGGAGAUACUAACACCAAAAUGAAGCAGGAAUGAACUCCACUCAGAUGGAGCAGUCUGACAGUGGAAGAGCUCUGGAUGUGGCUGAAGAAUGGGAAUGUUUUGGAGAGUGAAAACUGAGAGGGAGUGAAAUCAUGCAGGAAGAAGGUAUGCUGCAAUGCAACAGAAAAAGAAAUGAAAGGCCAAAAGAACUGCAAUAAAUGUGCCUGGAUUUCAGGGGAGGGUGUUACCCUGGCCAAAUCGUCUUCCAUCCCUGGAUUGUGAAGAUGGAUCUACCCAAACUCCAGACUCCUCCAGCCGAGGGCCACAAACAGUGAAUGGCGUUGCAAAGGACGGGGAGGAGUGAAGUGGCUAUUGUAGGAGCACAUUCCUUAUUGGAUGCUCACACCACAAGCAGAGGACUGAGUUUGCCAAGGCAUUCUAGGAUGUGUGAGUCUUACUUUAUAUAGUCAGAUAUUGUUGAUUGACUAUUGCAGGCUUUUCCAAACUUCUUAUGUGUUCCAUUGCUACUCCAAACAGUGUAAACUCUUCCAGUGUGUGCUGCCUGCUGCAGCAUAUACCUAAGGUCUUUGGUCAGCCAGCAAAUGAUAAGUGGGGAGGAGUUCUAUUUGCAGCCAUGGAGCUCCAACAGACUAAUUAGGCUUCUCCAGCAGCUUUGUACUCAAGGGGGCACUGGGCUGGAAUGCUGCCCAGCUGGUCUGCAAGUUCACAGGAGGAGUCAUCAUCCACACUUCACCCAUGCAACACUAGGCAAGAUUUAAUCCUUAAUCAACCAUUUCAGAGGACAGCAUCAGUACUGUCAUAGUUUAAUUACAACCUUGUUUUAGAAAAAGUUCACAAACCCCUUGAGUUCUUUUUGGUUGGACAAUGCAAAUAAAAGGAAGAAAAAAAUCAAUGUAAUGUAGUUGAUGGUUUAGUGUGCAUAUUACUUAAUCACGGUU
Long non-coding RNA from Chelonia mydas (Green sea turtle), 1034 nucleotides. RefSeq lists it as uncharacterized. The transcript is spliced from 3 exons. NCBI's taxonomy places the organism in Eukaryota, Metazoa, Chordata, Testudines, Cheloniidae. The record is from RefSeq and is a predicted model, not a curated record.